UAGGGAAUCUUCCACAAUGGACGAAAGUCUGAUGGAGCAACGCCGCGUGAACGAUGAAGGCUUUCGGGUCGUAAAGUUCUGUUGUAAGGGAAGAACAAGUGCCGCAGGCAAUGGCGGCACCUUGACGGUACCUUGCGAGAAAGCCACGGCUAACUACGUGCCAGCAGCCGCGGUAAUACGUAGGUGGCAAGCGUUGUCCGGAAUUAUUGGGCGUAAAGCGCGCGCAGGCGGCCUCUUAAGUCUGAUGUGAAAGCCCCCGGCUCAACCGGGGAGGGCCAUUGGAAACUGGGAGGCUUGAGUAUAGGAGAGAAGAGUGGAAUUCCACGUGUAGCGGUGAAAUGCGUAGAGAUGUGGAGGAACACCAGUGGCGAAGGCGACUCUUUGGCCUAUAACUGACGCUGAGGCGCGAAAGCGUGGGGAGCAAACAGGAUUAGAUACCCUGGUAGUCCACGCCGUAAACGAUGAGU
Molecule: ribosomal RNA, 467 nt
Filed under: Exiguobacterium sp. I2
Lineage: Bacteria; Bacillati; Bacillota; Bacilli; Caryophanales
Description: bacterial SSU rRNA
Rfam family: Bacterial small subunit ribosomal RNA
Source: RNAcentral